Molecule: ribosomal RNA, 353 nt
Filed under: Shigella dysenteriae
Lineage: Bacteria; Pseudomonadati; Pseudomonadota; Gammaproteobacteria; Enterobacterales; Enterobacteriaceae
Description: bacterial SSU rRNA
Rfam family: Bacterial small subunit ribosomal RNA
Source: RNAcentral
CGUAAACGAUGUCGACUUGGAGGUUGUGCCCUUGAGGCGUGGCUUCCGGAGCUAACGCGUUAAGUCGACCGCCUGGGGAGUACGGCCGCAAGGUUAAAACUCAAAUGAAUUGACGGGGGCCCGCACAAGCGGUGGAGCAUGUGGUUUAAUUCGAUGCAACGCGAAGAACCUUACCUGGUCUUGACAUCCACAGAACCUUGUAGAGAUACGAGGGUGCCUUCGGGAACUGUGAGACAGGUGCUGCAUGGCUGUCGUCAGCUCGUGUUGUGAAAUGUUGGGUUAAGUCCCGCAACGAGCGCAACCCUUAUCCUUUGUUGCCAGCGGUCCGGCCGGGAACUCAAAGGAGACUGCCA